GACGAACGCUGGCGGCGUGCUUAACACAUGCAAGUCGAACGGAAAGGCCCCUUUGGGGGUACUCGAGUGGCGAACGGGUGAGUAACACGUGAGUAACCUGCCCUUGACUUCGGGAUAACUUCAGGAAACUGGGGCUAAUACCGGAUAGGAAUCCUUGCUGCAUGGUGGGGGUUGGAAAGCUUCGGCGGUUUUGGAUGGACUCGCGGCUUAUCAGCUUGUUGGUGGGGUAGUGGCUUACCAAGGCUUUGACGGGUAGCCGGCCUGGGAGGGCGACCGGCCACAUUGGGACUGAGAUACGGCCCAGACUCCUACGGGAGGCAGCAGUGGGGAAUAUUGCACAAUGGGCGGAAGCCGGAUGCAGCAACGCCGCGUGCGGGAUGACGGCCUUCGGGUUGUAAACCGCUUUCAGCAGGGGCGAAGCUUGUGGUGACGGUACCUGCAGAAGAAGCACCGGCUAACUACGUG
This 465-nucleotide ribosomal RNA is filed under the name uncultured bacterium. Its description in RNAcentral is "partial 16S ribosomal RNA". It matches the Rfam family "Bacterial small subunit ribosomal RNA", at positions 28 to 507 of the family's 1533-position model. The record is from RNAcentral.